GGACCCGCACAAGCAGUGGAGCAUGUGGUUUAAUUCGACGCAACGCGAAGAACCUUACCAGCGUUUGACAUGGGAAGUGCCGGUUACAGAAUGGUAACCUUCAGUUCGGCUGGCUUCCACACAGGUGCUGCAUGGCUGUCGUCAGCUCGUGUCGUGAGAUGUUGGUUAAGUCCCGCAACGAGCGCAACCCUUAUCGUUAGUUACUAACAGUUCGGCUGAGGACUCUAGCGAAACUGCCGGUGAUAAGCCGGAGGAAGGUGGGGAUGACGUCAAGUCCUCAUGGCCCUUACACGCUGGGCUACACACGUGCUACAAUGGUAACUACAACGGGACGCAAUACCGCGAGGUGGAGCAAA
RNAcentral lists this ribosomal RNA (356 nucleotides) under uncultured bacterium. RNAcentral describes it as "bacterial SSU rRNA". It matches the Rfam family "Bacterial small subunit ribosomal RNA", at positions 917 to 1271 of the family's 1533-position model. The record is from RNAcentral.